Molecule: ribosomal RNA, 649 nt
Filed under: Polaromonas sp. B147_2
Lineage: Bacteria; Pseudomonadati; Pseudomonadota; Betaproteobacteria; Burkholderiales; Comamonadaceae
Description: bacterial SSU rRNA
Rfam family: Bacterial small subunit ribosomal RNA
Source: RNAcentral
ACUUUGGGGCAGCUUAACAUGCAGUCGAACGGCAGCACGGGAGCAAUCCUGGUGGCGAGUGGCGAACGGGUGAGUAAUAUAUCGGAACGUGCCCAGUCGUGGGGGAUAACGUAGAGAAAUUUACGCUAAUACCGCAUACGAUCUAAGGAUGAAAGCGGGGGACCGUAAGGCCUCGCGCGAUUGGAGCGGCUGAUAUCAGAUUAGGUUGUUGGUGAGGUAAAAGCUCACCAAGCCGACGAUCUGUAGCUGGUUUGAGAGAACGACCAGCCACACUGGGACUGAGACACGGCCCAGACUCCUACGGGAGGCAGCAGUGGGGAAUUUUGGACAAUGGGCGAAAGCCUGAUCCAGCAAUGCCGCGUGCAGGAAGAAGGCCUUCGGGUUGUAAACUGCUUUUGUACGGAACGAAAAGGUCUGCCUUAAUACGGCGGGCCCAUGACGGUACCGUAAGAAUAAGCACCGGCUAACUACGUGCCAGCAGCCGCGGUAAUACGUAGGGUGCGAGCGUUAAUCGGAAUUACUGGGCGUAAAGCGUGCGCAGGCGGUGAUGUAAGACAGUUGUGAAAUCCCCGGGCUCAACCUGGGAAUUGCAUCUGUGACUGCAUCGCUAGAGUACGGUAGAGGGGGAUGGAAUUCCGCGUGUAGCAGU